Molecule: long non-coding RNA, 1809 nt
Filed under: Homo sapiens (human)
Lineage: Eukaryota; Metazoa; Chordata; Mammalia; Primates; Hominidae
Description: HSALNT0006511
Source: RNAcentral
AGAGGGCGCCCGGGCUAAGGACCCGCUCGGCCAACCUCCGCCGGCUCGGCGGCGGACGCGGACUGGUGGCAGCGACAGAUUUGGGGACCAGCCUCGCCCAACGCAUCCGUCCCGCAGAUCCUGGCAGGAGCGAACAGCGAGAGGGACAGGAGUUGGACUGGGGAGGCAGCAAUCACACAAAAUUCAGAAAGCUGCUGUGUGCAACCUUAUGUCACGCGUAGCUCUGGGAUGCGCUUGGUAGAUGCUCUGCAAACACCAAAUGUAAAAGAAAAGAAAAGAAAUCCUCAAAAUUCCUUGGAAUCUUCCAUUUAAGUAAUCCCCUCUUAUCUAUGUCCUUGGACCCACGCAGGAUCCCUGUGUCUGUCUCUGGAAGAGUGAGAAUUGAUAUCCCAGUUUCUUAGACCACAAGACUUGAAAGACCCCUUAAACCAACCUACCCUUCCUCAAGAGGCAAAUGAGACUUAGAGAAGGCCAGAGCACAAGAUCUAAGCUUCUGAGCCGUUUCCAGCAAAUGAAGAAAGGGAGGCACAGGCACCCCUGCUUGGUUCUGUUAAAGGAGAGUUUGUCGUCUCUUCCUAUCCUGACAACAAAGAUUGACAGAUGAAUUAGGUCAUACUGUCAGGAGCCCACAGCCUAGAGAAGGAGACAGACAGAGACAGAUAUGCAAAGACGCCAUUAAAAUACAGAUGAUGAGGGCCAGGAGAGACAGAAGCACAAGGAAAUGGGAGCAGAGAGGAAGAGCUCCUAACACAGCUCAGAGGCCCAGGGAAGACGCCUGGGAGAUGGUCUUGAAAAAUAAGUCAGAGGUAGCUUAGAGAAGGAGGUGCACAUGCCUUCCAAGCGGAGGAAGAGCAGGUGCCAAGGCGCAGCAGUGUGAGAGCACACCUGCAGGGGACUGCAAGCAGUUACCCAUGGCUGCGGCAAAAAGCAAGUGGCAGGAGCUGAAGUUGUGUCUUCUGGCCAAGCUGGGGAGUCUGUCCGUUCUAGGUAUCAGGUCAUAGGAAGUCACUGCAAGAUUUGAAGUUUAAGGUGGCUAGAGUAGAUCUGUGCUCAUCGGGGGCAUGAAUUGGAGGGGGCAAGUUGGAGGCAGGGAGACCAGUGGGCAGAUAGUCAGUGAGGAGGGAGCCAGAGCCCAAGCCUCGGUCUCCUGACUCCCAGCCCAGUGUUCUCCCCACUUCUCCCACUCAUGCCUGCAGGUACCAGAUUGAGCAGCUAGAAAAUGACCAUACUAGAAGGCUGAGUGAGAAAGACCAAGCAGGGCUGGAGGGCCAGAAAGGUUUUCCAGAGCACAGGAUCUGGGUGGUUGGGAGGAACACGGGAAGGAAAGAAGGGGACACCAGAGACUGGCAGGUUUACCCUCAUGUGCACAUGAAGUUGCCACUUUUGUAAGUUACAAGUGAAUGCAUGUUGGCAAUUUCAUAUGGUUCAACUUACUGGGUGUCUGGAGCAACCUCAGCCUCUUAGCUACACACACACUUGGUGACAGACACCAAGCAGGCCAGAGUGCCCAGACGGUAUGUAUGAGAGCACAGGACAGCGCCAUGCUUCCCACACACAGAGCUCUGAGACCUGCAGCUCUGACAAGAGAUGUCCUUUAAAGAGUCUCCACUUUCCGGAGCUCCAAAACUCCCUACAAGGUCACCACUCUGCUGGUAAGGAUGAGGGGAAGUGAGAACUGAAUUCCACUGGAGGGAGGGUCAUGGUUCUCAUUGGAGAAUUAGAAGACACAAGUCAGAUAGUGGAUAAGAAAGAGCCUGAUCAAUUUAAAACAAUGAUGUGUGUAAAUAUGUGUGUGGAUUUAAAAAACCU